This 207-nucleotide ribosomal RNA is filed under the name uncultured bacterium. RNAcentral's name for it is "partial 16S ribosomal RNA". It matches the Rfam family "Bacterial small subunit ribosomal RNA", at positions 568 to 774 of the family's 1533-position model. The record is from RNAcentral.
CGCGUAGGCGGGAUGAUUAGUCAGUGGUGCAAUCUUGCGGCUUAACUGUAAGUUUGCCAUUGAUACUGUCAUUCUUGAGUUCGGAAGAGGGAAGUGGAAUUCCUGGUGUAGCGGUGAAAUGCGUAGAUAUCAGGAAGGACAUCGGUGGCGAAGGCGGCUUCCUGGUCCGAUACUGACGCUGAUGCGCGAAAGUGUGGGGAGCAAACA